AUAGCGUAUAUUAAAGUUGUUGCAGUUAAAAAGCUCGUAGUUGAAUUUUAGCCCUGGCUUAAUGGUCCGGCCUUUUGGUCGGUACUAUUCGGGCCGGGGUUCACCUUCUGGGGAGACGGCGUGCCGUUUAUUCGGUGCGUCGAGUUACCCAGGACUUUUACUUUGAAAAAAUUAGAGUGUUUAAAGCAGGCUUACGCUUGAAUACAUUAGCAUGGAAUAAUAAAAUAGGACUUUGGUUCUACUUUUGUUGGUUUGUUGAACCUGGUAAUGGUUAAUAGGGAUAGUUGGGGGCAUUAGUAUUUAAUUGUCAGAGGUGAAAUUCUUGGAUUUAUGAAAGACUAACUUCUG
RNAcentral lists this ribosomal RNA (348 nucleotides) under Bifiguratus adelaidae. RNAcentral's name for it is "SSU rRNA". It matches the Rfam family "Eukaryotic small subunit ribosomal RNA", at positions 594 to 945 of the family's 1831-position model. The record is from RNAcentral. Lineage: Eukaryota; Fungi; Mucoromycota; Endogonomycetes; Endogonales.